This 301-nucleotide ribosomal RNA is filed under the name uncultured bacterium. RNAcentral's name for it is "partial 16S ribosomal RNA". It matches the Rfam family "Bacterial small subunit ribosomal RNA", at positions 509 to 807 of the family's 1533-position model. The record is from RNAcentral.
CAGUAGCCACGGGAAUACGUAGGGUGCAAGCGUUAUCCGGAAUUAUUGGGCGUAAAGAGCUCGUAGGCGGUUUGUCGCGUCUGCUGUGAAAACUGGAGGCUCAACCUCCAGCCUGCAGUGGGUACGGGCAGACUAGAGUGCGGUAGGGGAGAUUGGAAUUCCUGGUGUAGCGGUGGAAUGCGCAGAUAUCAGGAGGAACACCGAUGGCGAAGGCAGAUCUCUGGGCCGUAACUGACGCUGAGGAGCGAAAGCGUGGGGAGCGAACAGGAUUAGAUACCCCCGUAGUCCCUGUCUCUUAUAC